This is a non-coding RNA of Taeniopygia guttata (zebra finch), 781 nucleotides long. The record is from RefSeq and is a predicted model, not a curated record. NCBI's taxonomy places the organism in Eukaryota, Metazoa, Chordata, Aves, Passeriformes, Estrildidae.
CAGGCAGGGCCUGGAGCUGCUCCACGUGUGUCCCAGCACGUGGGACAACCUGGGGUUUGGUCCUCUGGUGCUUCUCCAAGUGUGUCCCAGCCUGUGGGAGAACCUGGGCUUUGUUCCUCUUAGGAAUUUCAGUCUGGUGCUUCUCCACGUGUGUCCCAGCACGUGGGAGAACCAGGGCUUUGUUCCUCUGGAGCUGCUCCAGGUGUGUCCCAGCUCUUUGGAAAAGCUGGGAUUUGUUCCUCUGAGAAAUUUCAGCCUGGUGCUUCUCCAAGUGUGUUCCCACAUGUGGGAGAACCUGGGGUUCCUCUGAGGAAUUUCAGCCUGGUGCUUCUCCAAGUGUGUUUGAGAGCCUGGGCUUUGUUCCUCUGAGGAAUUCCAGUGUUGUGUGAACUCUGUAGCUUGUCUUGCUACAUUGUCACCUGAAUGGCAACCAUGGACAUUUACAGUGAUACGAUUUUUCUAGCAGAUUAUUUCAAGCCUUGUCCUCUAGUCCUGGAGCUCAGCAGCUCUGAGAACCACUCAGUUCUUUCAGUUGCCCUCAGUUCUUUCAGAACAUCCAUCACAAAAGUAUCAUGCAGUUUGGCUCCACAGGGGUGAGUGUUUAGCUUUGGAAUUGGUUAAUUUUAGUUCCGUUGAGAUUUUGAACCAAAAAAGCUUUAGAGUUAAAUACCUCCAGUUCAGCACAAAUAAUGCAUUAAAGAAGUAAAUUGAUACCAUCUUAAGACCAGGUGCUUUUCUGGCUUUAAUCCCAGCUCAGGUGUAGGCAUCAGAUGAUUAUAAA